Molecule: long non-coding RNA, 1448 nt
Organism: Tachysurus vachellii
Lineage: Eukaryota; Metazoa; Chordata; Actinopteri; Siluriformes; Bagridae
Exons: 5
Source: RefSeq, a predicted model, not a curated record
GUGUGUGUGUGUGUGUGGGAGAGAGAGAGAGAGAGAGAGAGACAGACAGACAGACAGACACCUACAGAAGCUCAGUUGAGAAGUCUUUACCAGGAGGAACAUUCACCUGCAGGACCAGGAACUUCUGAAUCAGGACAACUGGAGAAAUGAGACACACUUUCACAAACUAGCAGGGGAAGAAGGUGGACUGGGAAACAUAACUUCACUUAGCUCUACUACUUAACAUGCAGGGAUAUUGAUUUUGUGCCCUGUGCUCCUGUAAAUGGCUGAACAAGAAGCUUAAUGCACCCAACGUCAGAUAUCUUACUCAUGCCAUGGCCAGAGUGAGAGCUGAACAAGAUGAUUAAAUUCGCUUUCCCUUCACAAAGGAUAUGAAAAUCACAUGUGGACAUUAUCCUUAAAAGAGAAAGGUGAAGAGUAAGGUGGUGAAUUCAGUGAAGACAUCAAUCACAGGAGACUAUCACAGGAGACUCAGAGCACAAGAAAGCUAUCGCACACACACUCACACACCCAUGCAUACAAUAAUGACAAUUUAGGGCUGCCAAUCUGCCUACAGAGGAGGAAACUGGAGUACCUGGAGGAAACCUACAAGACACAGGGAGAACACUCAAACUAUGAAAGAUCGAACUUUAAACAUCAAACGAUGAAAAGUUGUACACUGCAAGAUUUCAUUCAUCAAUAAUAAAAACAGCUUUUAAUGUAUUCUAAGGAAGUUGUCACAUUGGUACUGUAGUGUAUUACAAUCUCCCAAACACAGUUCCAUUUACCAAAUUUCAGAUAUCUCCUGGUGAUUUUUCUUCUUUCACUCUUUAAAAUCAAUAUAUCUGAAGCUUUACACAAAAUUUCUUUAAAAAAAAAAACAAUCUGGUCACAGAUAUUUUGUAGCUACACUUAAUAGAGUUCAGGCAACUUGGGUUAAAUGAAUUAACAGUUAUGUGAGCUGUAGCUGUAUAUAUUCCUUUAAUUUCAACCCUAUAUACACCUGGGUAAAGUAAUAGCCAGCCUGCUGCUCUGAAUAUCUUUAACUUAAUGGUAUAACCCACAGUUUGUGAGACUGUGAUACUAUAGUGCAAUUGUAUUUAAACUAUUUUUUUGCACACCAUUCCAUACAUAAAAUACAUUUCCUAAUGCUCACCUACAUUAAACACCAUCACCAUUAACUAUUAGACAUAUAAGCAUAUAAAACAUAUAUUUUGCCCAAAUCAUACAAAAGGUCUAAUCUCUACUUUACAAAAUCCAAGAUUUGAAGUUUAAUAAAAAAUUUUCAUGAUUCCAUAGCCACACUUUGAUUACCACUGAUUUGUUAGCAACAUGCUAUAGGUACCCCAGACAGAAACAUACAACUUUUUACAUUUACUGAACAGGCUUUUAAUGAAAGCAAUAGUAAAUAAAGCUGCUGUCAAAAUUGUUAAAUUAUUCCAGCAUGUUGGUCCCCUGAUGUUGUCAAG